Callorhinchus milii (elephant shark) is the source of this 210-nucleotide long non-coding RNA. RefSeq lists it as uncharacterized. The transcript has 2 exons. The record is from RefSeq and is a predicted model, not a curated record. Lineage: Eukaryota; Metazoa; Chordata; Chondrichthyes; Chimaeriformes; Callorhinchidae.
UGGAGGAGAAGCUCAGACAUGGCGGGGGCGGAGAGGGGCUGAGCAGCCGCACAACUCGGCGCUGAGAGAGGGUCCGGUCAGUGAAGUGGAAUGUUUCAAGCCUGAGUUCAGGAUGGAGGCCAAGAAGGCGGUAACUCGCCAACUAUUAAAUACACUUGACAUCGAUUUCCAGCACAGAAGGAGGCCAUUCGGCCCAGCUAGUCCACCCUG